GGUCAGGAACACGGGAACAGUUUAGCUGAGUGGAUUUGGCUCAGGGUGUCUCAUGACGUAAUAAAAGUGUUGGCUGAGUUGCAGCUGUCUCACGUUUGACUGGAGGAGGAUCCACGACCGUGCCUCCCUCACGUGGCUGUUGGCUGGCCUCAGAGGAUCUGUUCAAGACUCACUCAUAGCCGCCUCCACAGGGCUGCCUCAUAGCCUGCAGCUGGCUCCUCCCAAAGCAAGUGGUCCAGGAGAGAAUGAGACUGCACUCAAGAAGGAAGCUAUGGUGUUUUCACAAUCUAAUCUCAGAAGUGGCAUCCCAGAAUUUCUGCCAUACUCUAUUCUUUUGAAGCAAAGUAUUCAGUCCAGCCUGCAGGCAGGGGGACCAUGUGACUACCAGGAGGUGAGGAGCACUAAGAAGUAUAUAUGUUUUUAUGAAGAUCCAUAACUCUGUAAAUGGAUAAGGGUGUGCAACAAUUGGGAAUGCUGAGCAAGGCUUUGCCCCUAUAUCCCUAUGCACUUCUGUUGGAAGAAUGUUCAAGCCUCUUCCCAAGACAGCUCCAGUGUUUGGGGAAAAUAAAGUGCUCUCCCUUGGCCUGGGCCCUUGGAUCCCAAGUGGAAAGAAGUGCCGUUUGCCUCCUACCAUGAUUCUGAG
Molecule: long non-coding RNA, 643 nt
Filed under: Homo sapiens (human)
Lineage: Eukaryota; Metazoa; Chordata; Mammalia; Primates; Hominidae
Description: HSALNT0306600
Source: RNAcentral